GCAAGGGGAGCGGCAGACGGGAGAGUAAUACGUGGGAACGUACCCUUUGGUUCGGAACAACACAGGGAAACUUGUGCUAAUACCGGAUAAGCCCUUACGGGGAAAGAUUUAUCGCCGAAGGAUCGGCCCACGUCUGAUUAGCUAGUUGGUGAGGUAACGGCUCACCAAGGCGACGAUCAGUAGCUGGUCUGAGAGGAUGAUCAGCCUCACUGGGACUGAGACACGGCCCAGACUCCUACGGGAGGCAGCAGUGGGGAAUAUUGGACAAUGGGCGCAAGCCUGAUCCAGCCAUGCCGCGUGGGUGAUGAAGGCCCUAGGG
RNAcentral lists this ribosomal RNA (319 nucleotides) under uncultured bacterium. RNAcentral's name for it is "bacterial SSU rRNA". It matches the Rfam family "Bacterial small subunit ribosomal RNA", at positions 86 to 422 of the family's 1533-position model. The record is from RNAcentral.